Molecule: ribosomal RNA, 496 nt
Filed under: uncultured bacterium
Lineage: Bacteria
Description: bacterial SSU rRNA
Rfam family: Bacterial small subunit ribosomal RNA
Source: RNAcentral
CAGCAGUGGGGAAUAUUGCACAAUGGGCGCAAGCCUGAUGCAGCAACGCCGCGUGAGGGACGACGGCCUUCGGGUUGUAAACCUCUUUUAGCAGGGAAGAAGCGAAAGUGACGGUACCUGCAGAAAAAGCACCGGCUAACUACGUGCCAGCAGCCGCGGUAAUACGUAGGGUGCAAGCGUUAUCCGGAAUUAUUGGGCGUAAAGAGCUCGUAGGCGGUUUGUCGCGUCUGCUGUGAAACCCCGAGGCUCAACCUCGGGCCUGCAGUGGGUACGGGCAGACUAGAGUGCGGUAGGGGAGAUUGGAAUUCCUGGUGUAGCGGUGGAAUGCGCAGAUAUCAGGAGGAACACCGAUGGCGAAGGCAGAUCUCUGGGCCGUAACUGACGCUGAGGAGCGAAAGGGUGGGGAGCAAACAGGCUUAGAUACCCUGGUAGUCCACCCCGUAAACGUUGGGAACUAGUUGUGGGGUCCAUUCCACGGAUUCCGUGACGCAGCUAA